UAUGUAGUCUUUACUAAGGGUUAUAGCC
RNAcentral lists this small RNA (28 nucleotides) under Bombyx mori (domestic silkworm). RNAcentral describes it as "ovarian small RNA-24001". Lineage: Eukaryota; Metazoa; Arthropoda; Insecta; Lepidoptera; Bombycidae. The record is from RNAcentral.